Chinchilla lanigera (long-tailed chinchilla) is the source of this 653-nucleotide long non-coding RNA. RefSeq lists it as uncharacterized. Lineage: Eukaryota; Metazoa; Chordata; Mammalia; Rodentia; Chinchillidae. The transcript has 3 exons. The record is from RefSeq and is a predicted model, not a curated record.
GGUUAGCAGGCUGCGGACGGGGCAGAAGAGGCGUCACGUGACGAGGAAAGUGAAACAUAUUAACUUAGCUGCUGAGGAACAGCCCGCACCAGGACCAACGGGGAGGAGGCUACAAAGCUUCUGUGCAAAUGAAUGCAGAGACUGGGAGCAAGACAUGGGUCAGGCAGAGUGGCACACACCAGUAAUCUCUGCUACGCAGAAGGCUUAAGCAAGAUUGUGAGUUUGAGACCAGCCUGGACAUUCUGGUGAGACCCAGUCCUUCCCCUCAAAGGAGUUGGAGAGAAGAUUUCAUCAGAGAGGUGCCGUGUGAAUGACAGAAGGAUGAACCCUGACUCAGAAAUGUGGAGAACACAUUCCAGCAUGGAUUGUGAUCUGAGAGAAGUCUUGUGGUUGGGGUUUAAGAUAAAGAGAAGAAGGUAGUAUUCAGUGUUGAUUCAUGAAGAGACGGGAUGAAUUAGACCGGCAAGAACAGGCAAUGAAAUGAGCGGGGCAAUAUGGGGUGAAUGGCCCAUUGCACUUGUGCGUAGUGAAGGUUCAUAUGUGGAUCAGAAGUUAGUAGGUCUUUCUACAUUUACUAUGGCUCCUACAUUCCUACUACUACCAUUGGAACUAUCACUCAAUUCAGGACUUUUCUCUAACCUCCAAGAAUGGAU